Molecule: non-coding RNA, 206 nt
Organism: Oryza glaberrima (African rice)
Lineage: Eukaryota; Viridiplantae; Streptophyta; Magnoliopsida; Poales; Poaceae
Source: Rfam
AAAAAGACAAACCGUAGGUUCUUGUGCCAACGUUUGACUGUCCGUCUUAUAUGAAAUUUUUUUAUAAUUAGUAUUUUCGUUGUUGUUAGAUGAUAAAACAUGAUUAAUACUUUAUGUGUGACUUAUCUUUUUAAUUUUUUUUAUAAUUUUUUUAAAUAAGACGAACGGUCAAACGUUGGGCACGAAAACUAAUGUUUGUCUUUUUC